AGUGAACGCUGGCGGUAGGCCUAACACAUGCAAGUCGAACGGCAGCACAGUAAGAGCUUGCUCUUACGGGUGGCGAGUGGCGGACGGGUGAGGAAUACAUCGGAAUCUACUUUUUCGUGGGGGAUAACGUAGGGAAACUUACGCUAAUACCGCAUACGACCUACGGGUGAAAGCAGGGGAUCUUCGGACCUUGCGCGAUUGAAUGAGCCGAUGUCGGAUUAGCUAGUUGGCGGGGUAAAGGCCCACCAAGGCGACGAUCCGUAGCUGGUCUGAGAGGAUGAUCCGCCCCACUGGAACUGAGACACGGUCCAGACUCCUACGGGAGGCAGCAGUGGGGAAUAUUGGACAAUGGGCGCAAGCCUUAUCCAGCCAUACCGCGUGGGUGAAGAAGGCCUUCGGGUUGUAAAGCCCUUUUGUUGGGAAAGAAAAGCAGCAGGUUAAUACCCCGCUGUUCUGACGGUACCCAAAGAAUAAGCACCGGCUAACUUCGUG
This 492-nucleotide ribosomal RNA is filed under the name uncultured bacterium. Its description in RNAcentral is "partial 16S ribosomal RNA". It matches the Rfam family "Bacterial small subunit ribosomal RNA", at positions 29 to 507 of the family's 1533-position model. The record is from RNAcentral.